Molecule: ribosomal RNA, 367 nt
Filed under: uncultured Didiniidae
Lineage: Eukaryota; Ciliophora; Litostomatea; Haptorida; Didiniidae
Description: partial small subunit ribosomal RNA
Rfam family: Eukaryotic small subunit ribosomal RNA
Source: RNAcentral
GCUUGUCUCAAAGAUUAAGCCAUGCAUGUCUAAGUAUAAACGACUUUAUACUGUGAAACUGCGAAUGGCUCAUUAUAUCAGUUAUAGUUUAUUUGAUGGUCCUUGCUACUUGGAUAACUGUAGAAACACUAGAGCUAAUACAUGCUAAGACCGUAAGGUUGUAUUUAUUAGAUAUACCGAGUAGGUGAAUCAUAAUAACUUCGCAAAUCGCAGUAAUACUGCGAUAAAUCAUUCAAGUUUCUGCCCUAUCAUGCUCUCGAUGGUAGUGUAUUGGACUACCAUGGCUCUCACGGGUAACGGGGAAUUAGGGUUCGAUUCCGGAGAAGGAGCCUGAGAAACGGCUACUACAUCUAAGGAAGGCAGCAGG